CUGGUUACCACAGUAACCGGGGGUAUUCCAAAGUGCGCAGCCGCGAAGUGGCGAAGGCUUCCUCACCAUCCUAUACCCCUCAACGCACCAGCAGGCGUUAGCCGCUCCAGGGAGAGACCUCCUACGCGCCAACCCUAACUUCAAGGACAAGGUCCAGAGAGGAAUCAUGGGGUGUCCCAGCUUCCAUACACCGCGAGCCUAGGGAGCAAAGGCAUCCGGGGCCCCUGAAAGCCUGGCACCUGAAAAGGGAUACCCCAGUCGCCAGCUUGUCCUCCUCCCCAACCGGAGCCGGAGGGAGGCGCUGGCAGCAGGAAGCCAGGGAAGGGCCCGGAGGAGCUCAGGCCCCACAGCCGAGCGGGCACUCCUACAACUCCAAGUCUACCUUUGAGUGCCUCUACCCUGGACCUUGGGUGACUGCAAAGCGGGAUGCCUGCUUUCUGAUCUCAUCCCAGCCUGGCUGCCUCUCCCUGACCCUUAACCCCACCGCUGCCUUCUAAUCUGUCCACCACCCUCAUUCUGUUAGUUCCCUUCCUCCUCCUACUUUUUCCUCCUGCAAGGAGGUAACCUAGCAUCCAUCAGGUGACAGGUGUUGGUGGCAGGGGAGGUCCUCUCCUUCUCUGAAUGAUCUCUACCCACCUUCUGUUCUCAUUUCCAAGUCUCACCUCUGAUCCUUCCCAGGCUGUUGGCAAGUUCUUCCUCCCGUCUAAACUGCACCCUCCAACUUUAUUCCAGCCCAUUUCCCCUAUUUCCCAUCAGUUUAUUGAUCCCUGCCACACCCUUCAUCCAGUAUGCAUAAGCUCAGUGCCGUUUGGGCCCCAUUUUCCCACCCUCCAUCACCUCCACAUUUUCCUAAUUUAGGUCCCUUAUCAAGUCCCAUACACCCCCUUUCAACCGUGGGCGUCACCUUUGGUCCCAGAACUCGUCAGCUUCUGGGCUUCACAAGUUAGGCUAACACAUAUCAGAUCACCUUGACUUAUGUCAUUAAAAUAUGUCCCCUCCCUACAACUCUGGGUCCAGCCUCCUGCCCCACCCAACCACCCACCCCUCUCUCUGCAUUCAACACAUGCUCUGCAGCAUGGCUGCUCCUACCUUCUUAUCCCAGUCCUGAUCCUCUACCUCUCAUCUUCAGUCUCCCCUCCCCCAGCUCAGUCCUCCUUAAGCCUCGAAGGCAGAGGAGGGUUAGGCUAGGGCUAAUGUUGCAGUGGACACUGCUGGGCAUGGCAGCACCCCCUCAACCCCAGGCCUCCAUUUCCCCCACCUCUUCUCUCCUCCUCCCUGGGAUGGGAGGGAGGAAGGGGGUGGAAAACCCAGCCCCCACAGCUCUCUCCUAGGUGAUCAAGAGGAAAGGAAUGAGGCAGGUGUGUCUGGCUGCUCCUGCCUACCCCUCCUCCUGGGGGACUCUCACCCGCCCCGCCUGUGGGGCUGUCUUUUGGGGGAUGGGGAAAGAAACCCUGUCCUCCAGAGAAGCAGCAGAGCUGAGCAUUCGGAAGGACCCACUGCCACAGGCAUGCCUGCGAGCUAAUGGCAUUUGGAGGGGAAGGAGAUGAGGGGCAAGCUCAUGGAGGCAAAUCUCCCAGCUGGUGGGCCUACUGGGGUGUAUCACUAAGAGGCCCCCAAUUCCUUCUCACUUCUACCCAGGGGUAGGGAGACAUGGAUCAGGGUGAAAAAUAUGGAGGAUUUCUGCUGGCUGAUCAUUGGGGAAAGGAACAAGUCUUUGUCCUUGCCUGGUUCGUCAAGAGGGGUGCUAUUCUAGGGUAAAUUGAGGCAGCCAGCGGGAUCCUCAAGUGUGAGCAGCAAGAGGCCUGGAUGCAGUAGGUAAAGUGUUCUUUCCCUGAGAUCCUGACCUCACUCCCCUCUCCACUGCCCUCCUCCUUGAGGGUCUGUUCCAGAAAAAACAUCAGAUCCGAGAGUGAAGGAGAGUGCAACACUGGACCCAAACUGCUCAACAGUGUCCUCAUAGGGACAUGAGGGUGGGGAAGGAUUGCUGACCUGCUAAGGAGCACCCUGAUAUGGGGAUCUGGGAGCACAAGAGGCCCAGGAAGAAUGUGCCCCCUGCACCUUACUUACAUACCCUGCCUGGACUCAGAGAGACCAGAAUCCAGACAACAGUUGCUGCUGGGCACGGCCACUCGUCCUGGCUUGUGGCAGAGGGCUCAGGCACAAGGUGGGCGGUUGGAGCUCUGGCACCAGAGCCCUUCUCGACAUCCCCACUGCUUCCAACCAGUCCAAGCCCCAUCUCUGAUUUAGAAGAUGGUUGUUAUUCCUCACUGGCUUACCAGCUGUCACCUCAUCCCCCUUCAGCCAGUUCCCCAUCAGCGAUCCAUGUGAGACUUGGACCAGGACACUCCCCUGCUUAAGGAUCUCAAGGUUCCCAUUCCUCUUUAAUAAAACCCCAACUCCUUACUUUGGCUUAGAAAGACACAUGAUGUGACCUUUGCCGACCCUCUGAACACCUCUCCUGCUAGUCUGUUUCUUGAUUUCUUCACUGCAAUCACAAUGGCCCCUUUGCUGUUCCUCCAGCAGGCAGAGAUCUUUCUCAGCUCACACUUUCUGCCUUCACAUGGCCUCUGCCGGGAAUGCCCUUACCCAUACUCUUUGCAUGGCUUAUGGUGCAGGUCCCAGCAUGGGUAUCACAACUCACAGAGGCCUUCCCUGAAAAAACAGUGACUUUGUCUGAGGAGCCCCAC
Symphalangus syndactylus (siamang) is the source of this 2687-nucleotide long non-coding RNA. RefSeq lists it as uncharacterized. The record is from RefSeq and is a predicted model, not a curated record. NCBI's taxonomy places the organism in Eukaryota, Metazoa, Chordata, Mammalia, Primates, Hylobatidae.